Medicago truncatula (barrel medic) is the source of this 88-nucleotide microRNA precursor. It matches the Rfam family "MIR2617 microRNA precursor family". The record is from Rfam. NCBI's taxonomy places the organism in Eukaryota, Viridiplantae, Streptophyta, Magnoliopsida, Fabales, Fabaceae.
AAGUAGCGUGACAUGCCCGUUUUGGAAAUACUCUGAUGUAUGAUUAUUUAUUAUUUAAUUGUUUUGGGUAACGGGGUGUUACACCUUU